AUACCGGAUAAGCCCGAGAGGGGAAAGAUUUAUCGCCGAAGGAUUGGCCCGCGUCCGAUUAGCUAGUUGGUGAGGUAAUGGCUCACCAAGGCGACGAUCGGUAGCUGGUCUGAGAGGAUGAUCAGCCACACUGGGACUGAGACACGGCCCAGACUCCUACGGGAGGCAGCAGUGGGGAAUAUUGGACAAUGGGCGCAAGCCUGAUCCAGCCAUGCCGCGUGAGUGAUGAAGGCCCUAGGGUUGUAAAGCUCUUUCGCCAGGGACGAUAAUGACGGUACCUGGAUAAGAAGCCCCGGCUAACUUCGUGCCAGCAGCCGCGGUAAUACGAAGGGGGCUAGCGUUGUUCGGAAUCACUGGGCGUAAAGCGCACGUAGGCGGAUCUUUAAGUCAGAGGUGAAAUCCCAAGGCUCAACCUUGGAACUGCCUUUGAUACUGGGGAUCUCGAGUCCGGGAGAAGUGAGUGGAACUGCGAGUGUA
This 477-nucleotide ribosomal RNA is filed under the name uncultured bacterium. RNAcentral's name for it is "bacterial SSU rRNA". It matches the Rfam family "Bacterial small subunit ribosomal RNA", at positions 166 to 677 of the family's 1533-position model. The record is from RNAcentral.